CAGGCUUCUAGUCACUCAGAGGAGAGCCUAGCCUCUCCCCGGGAGGAAGUCCACCACAGCUGCCCGGUCUGCCAUGGCUUCAGAUGGAGAGUCCACUAAGUGAAAGCGACAGCAAAGGCCAUGAAUAUGUUGUUUCCUGUGUCUGAUGACAUCUCUGCCCAAUGUCAUGCCUAUCUGAUGAAGAUCAUUCACAUACUAACAGCCAGAGGGUGCAGAGCACAAGUUCUGAAGUCAGCGUUCCUGGGAUCACUGCCCAGCGCCACCCUUUAUUUUUUACCUUGGGACGGGAGUCUAGCAUAACUGUCCUCUGAGAGGCUCCACCCAGCAGCUGAUCCACACAGAUACAGAGACCCACAGCUGAACAAACAUUAGACAGAGAUCAAGAAGUCUAGUGGAAGAGGCACCCACAGGAGAAAGAGACUCCACAGGAAAGACCAACACAGUCAACUAACCUGGACCCUUGGGCACUCCAAGAGACUCAAACACCAACCAAAGAGCAUACAAAGGCUGGACCUAGGACCCCUGCACAUAUGUAGCAGAUGUGCAGCUUGGUUUUCAUGAAGGUCCUGAACAACUGGAGCAAUGGGGUGGGACUUACUCUGACUGUCACCUGCCUGUGUAUCUUGUUCCUCUAACUGGGCUUUGUCUGGCCUCUGUGGGUGCCAGGGUACUUUGGUACAUAGUGGGACUUCCCUCUUCUCAGGGGUGAAGAGGAGGAGGGAAUGGUGGAGGGGACAUGUGAGGAAGGGACUUGGAGGAGAGGAGGGCACUGCAAUUGGGAUAUAAAGUAAAUAAAUUAACUAAUGGGGAAAAAAGAACACGAAGGAACACUGGAAAUAGCCCCCUCCUUUCUUUCCCAGGGCCAUACACGAAGAUCUCUGAGCUUGGUUUGCGACAGGAUUAGUAACUUUUCUUGCUGUUGCCCAAGACCCAAUGAUAACAGCUUAAGGGAGGAAGGGAAUCUUUCUGCUCAAGCUGAGGAUGCAGUCCAUCACGAAGGUAAUGCAUGGCAUUGGCAGUGUGUGGCAGCUGCUCACACAGUAUCCACAGUCGGGAAGCAGAGAGAGAUGAACGCUGGCUCUAAGCUUGCUUUCUCUCAUUCAGUUCAGGAUCCCAUCAUACAACGAUGCCACCUGUUCUUAGGACAGUUGUCCCGCUUUAAUAACCCAGGCUACAGACUUCUUCCGAGCUUUGACAUCUAGAUGAUACUAGAUCUUGUCAGGUUGACAAUCAACGUACACUGCCAAUGUGUUCUAUUGCUGUGAUAUAAUACCCCGAUGAAAAUGAACCGGGGUAGAGAGGAGGAGUUUACUUGGCUUACAAUUCGAUGUUAUACUCUACAAUCAUGGGGCCAUCACUGUAGCCUGAGUGCACACCCACGUCAUGCUUGCUUACUUUCGUCUAGCUUUGCCCAGUUGCCUGUAGCUCAAAACCGCUUGCCUAGAGGACAUUGCCCACAGUGAGCAUGCCCUUCUUCUACGUCAAUUAACAAUGCAAAAAUUUCUCCAGAGACAGCCUACAUGUCCACCGGAUCUAGAUAAUUCCUCCGUUGAAACCUUCCCUACAUGACUCUAAGUCCUGUUAUGGUGAUGUUUAACUAACCAGUACACACAGUCACAUUGGGGCAACCAUCCAAGCAUCCCAGAAAUGGGGCAUCCACUCCAUAUGAACAAGCUUUCUCCCUAGCCUUAGCAUCCACCUUCAGCCAGUGCCAUUAGCUUCAGAUGUGCUGGCAAAUGACACUCGGUAGACCGUCCUUAGUUGCAAAACAACACAUCAAAACAAACAUCUCACCAUUUCCUCUGACUGUGGAUCAGCAAAAUUAUAUCUUGACAUAUGAAGCAAAAACAGAUCUUUUCAAAAGUUUUAUCUCUAAGACUAAGCUAAAACCUCCCUUGGAAGCCUAUUAAAAUUAUGAUGACGCUCUCAAGUCAGGUAUAUCCACCCUGCAGGAGUGUCUUUCUCUACUUCUGGUACAGGUUAGGUUUAUAAAAGCCCUUGGUUGGAUAAAAAGCUGAUAUGUCUCCCACAUAAACUGUUUUCAGCAGUCACAACAUGAUCUAGACACAACUCCUCAGUCUUCUUGCCCCUUUAUUGCCUGACCUUGGUGACUUUUCAUUUAGGGCCGGCCACACAUGGUUAUGUUUCUGUCUGUGACAUUUUGACCAAGUCUAAUCUGUAUCACUCAUGUUCUCAGUUCUUAAGUAAAGGGGACUUUUCUCGGUUGAAGAAUUGAAGAGUUAGAACAGCUCUGACAUAAGUCAUAUUGAAAUGUGCUUGUCAUAUAAGCAUGAAGACCUGACAUUGAUCCCUAGAAGAAUUCAGAAGAAGUUGUAUGAAACGGUGUGUGCCUGUAAUAGCACUAGCAGGGGCAGACACAGUUGGAUUUGCUGGCCAGUUAGUCUAAGCAAUGAGUGAAUUCCAAGUUCAAUGAGAGUCCCUGUCUCAAAAGCAAGAUGGAGAUAGGGACAGUAGAGAUGCUCAGAAGUUUAGAGCUACUGCUGUCCUUCCAGAGGAACUGAGUUCAUUUCCCAAUGUCCACAAGGAACAGCUACCUGAAAUGCCAAUGCCAGAAGACCCUCUUCUGGCCUCAUUGGGCACAAGGCAGGGAUAUGGUCUACAGGCACACAUGAAGGCAAAACACCCAUAAAUGUAAAAUAAUAAAAUAAAAAGUAAGCUGAGAAACAACCAAGGAAGACAGCUGACAUUGAGCUCUGUCCCCCAAAAGACAAAAGUAACCUUCCAUAAAUGUGUACACAUAUGCAUAGACACACACAGAUACACAUGCACAGAUACACAUAGACACACAGAGAUACACACAGAUAUAUACACGCACAAACACACACACAUACAAACACACAAACACACACACACACACACACACACACCAAAGGUGGGGGAAAUCCUCUGCAUCAUUCUAGA
Molecule: long non-coding RNA, 2922 nt
Organism: Apodemus sylvaticus (European woodmouse)
Lineage: Eukaryota; Metazoa; Chordata; Mammalia; Rodentia; Muridae
Exons: 3
Source: RefSeq, a predicted model, not a curated record